Molecule: ribosomal RNA, 492 nt
Filed under: uncultured bacterium
Lineage: Bacteria
Description: partial 16S ribosomal RNA
Rfam family: Bacterial small subunit ribosomal RNA
Source: RNAcentral
AGUGAACGCUGGCGGUAGGCCUAACACAUGCAAGUCGAACGGCAGCACAGUAAGAGCUUGCUCUUACGGGUGGCGAGUGGCGGACGGGUGAGGAAUACAUCGGAAUCUACUUUUUCGUGGGGGAUAACGUAGGGAAACUUACGCUAAUACCGCAUACGACCUACGGGUGAAAGCAGGGGAUCUUCGGACCUUGCGCGAUUGAAUGAGCCGAUGUCGGAUUAGCUAGUUGGCGGGGUAAAGGCCCACCAAGGCGACGAUCCGUAGCUGGUCUGAGAGGAUGAUCAGCCACACUGGAACUGAGACACGGUCCAGACUCCUACGGGAGGCAGCAGUGGGGAAUAUUGGACAAUGGGUGCAAGCCUGAUCCAGCCAUGCCGCGUGGGUGAAGAAGGCCUUCGGGUUGUAAAGCCCUUUUGUUGGGAAAGAAAAGCAGCAGGUUAAUACCCCGCUGUUCUGACGGUACCCAAAGAAUAAGCACCGGCUAACUUCGUG